GAGUUUNNNNCCUGGCUCAGGACGAACGCUGGCGGCGUGCCUAAUACAUGCAAGUCGAGCGANNNNUUAGNAGCUUGCUCCUAAAGGUUAGCGGCGGACGGGUGAGUAACACGUGGGCAACCUGCCUGUAAGACUGGGAUAACUUCGGGAAACCGGAGCUAAUACCGGAUAAUCCUUUCCCUCUCAUGAGGGAAAGUUGAAAGUCGGUUUAAGCUGUCACUUACAGAUGGGCCCGCGGCGCAUUAGCUAGUUGGUGAGGUAACGGCUCACCAAGGCGACGAUGCGUAGCCGACCUGAGAGGGUGAUCGGCCACACUGGGACUGAGACACGGCCCAGACUCCUACGGGAGGCAGCAGUAGGGAAUCUUCCGCAAUGGACGAAAGUCUGACGGAGCAACGCCGCGUGAGCGAUGAAGGCCUUCGGGUCGUAAAGCUCUGUUGUUAGGGAAGAACAAGUACCGGAGUAACUGCCGGUACCUUGACGGUACCUAACCAGAAAGCCACGGCUAACUACGUGCCAGCAGCCGCGGUAAUACGUAGGUGGCAAGCGUUGUCCGGAAUUAUUGGGCGUAAAGCGCGCGCAGGCGGUCCUUUAAGUCUGAUGUGAAAGCCCACGGCUCAACCGUGGAGGGUCAUUGGAAACUGGGGGACUUGAGUGCAGAAGAGGAAAGCGGAAUUCCACGUGUAGCGGUGAAAUGCGUAGAGAUGUGGAGGAACACCAGUGGCGAAGGCGGCUUUC
Molecule: ribosomal RNA, 738 nt
Filed under: Neobacillus niacini
Lineage: Bacteria; Bacillati; Bacillota; Bacilli; Caryophanales; Bacillaceae
Description: bacterial SSU rRNA
Rfam family: Bacterial small subunit ribosomal RNA
Source: RNAcentral